This 395-nucleotide ribosomal RNA is filed under the name uncultured bacterium. RNAcentral's name for it is "partial 16S ribosomal RNA". It matches the Rfam family "Bacterial small subunit ribosomal RNA", at positions 523 to 918 of the family's 1533-position model. The record is from RNAcentral.
AUACGUAGGGUGCAAGCGUUAAUCGGAAUUACUGGGCGUAAAGCGUGCGCAGGCGGGUUUGUAAGACAGAGGUGAAAUCCCCGGGCUCAACCUGGGAACCGCCUUUGUGACUGCAAGGCUAGAGUACGGCAGAGGGGGGUGGAAUUCCGCGGGUAACAGUGAAAUGCGUAGAUAUGCGGAGGAACACCGAUGGCGAAGGCAAUCCCCUGGGCCUGUACUGACGCUCAUGCACGAAAGCGUGGGGAGCAAACAGGAUUAGAUACCCUGGUAGUCCACGCCCUAAACGAUGUCAACUGGUUGUUGGGUCUUCAUUGACUCAGUAACGAAGCUAACGCGUGAAGUUGACCGCCUGGGGAGUACGGCCGCAAGGUUGAAACUCAAAUGAAUUGACGGGG